RNAcentral lists this long non-coding RNA (301 nucleotides) under Homo sapiens (human). RNAcentral's name for it is "HSALNT0409615". Lineage: Eukaryota; Metazoa; Chordata; Mammalia; Primates; Hominidae. The record is from RNAcentral.
GCGCCAUUUUUUUCGAAACCUCUGCGCCAUGAGAGCCAAGUGGAGGAAGAAGCGAACGCUCAGGCUGAAGCGCCAAAGAAGAAAGAUGAGGCAGAAGUCCAAGUAAACCGCUAGCUUGUUGCACCGUGGAGGCCACAGGAGCAGAAACAUGGACCUGUGACAUUCUGGACUAUUUCUGUGUUUAUUUGUGGCCGAGUGUAACAACCAUAUAAUAAAUCACCUCUUCCGCUGUUUUAGCUGGAAAAAAAAAAAAUACUCAGACACUCAGAUCUUCAAUGUCAGAAUUUUUAAAAACAUGACC